This 23-nucleotide non-coding RNA is filed under the name Cricetulus griseus (Chinese hamster). The record is from RNAcentral. Lineage: Eukaryota; Metazoa; Chordata; Mammalia; Rodentia; Cricetidae.
CUGGGCAGCUGGUGAUCGUUGGU